Molecule: ribosomal RNA, 768 nt
Filed under: Hypocreales sp. 580/LP2
Lineage: Eukaryota; Fungi; Ascomycota; Sordariomycetes; Hypocreales
Description: SSU rRNA
Rfam family: Eukaryotic small subunit ribosomal RNA
Source: RNAcentral
UUCNAUUUAAACAUCCUUNUUNAUUGAGAGGAAGGGGGGGAUUUAUUAUAACUUUUCNAAUCGCAUGGCCUUGNGCCGGCGAUGGUUCAUUCAAAUUUCUUCCCUAUCAACUUUCGAUGUUUGGGUAUUGGCCAAACAUGGUCGCAACGGGUAACGGAGGGUUAGGGCUCGACCCCGGANAAGGAGCCUGAGAAACGGCUACNACAUCCAAGGAAGGCAGCAGGCGCGCAAAUUACCCAAUCCCGAUUCGGGGAGGUAGUGACAAUAAAUACUGAUACAGGGCUCUUUUGGGUCUUGUAAUUGGAAUGAGUACAAUUUAAAUCCCUUAACGAGGAACAAUUGGAGGGCAAGUCUGGUGCCAGCAGCCGCGGUAAUUCCAGCUCCAAUAGCGUAUAUUAAAGUUGUUGUGGUUAAAAAGCUCGUAGUUGAACCUUGGGCCUGGCUGGCCGGUCCGCCUCACCGCGUGUACUGGUCCGGCCGGGCCUUUCCCUNUGUGGAACCUCAUGCCCUUCACUGGGUGUGGNGGGGAAACAGGACUUUUACUUUGAAAAAAUUAGAGUGCUCCAGGCAGGCCUAUGCUCGAAUACAUUAGCAUGGAAUAAUGAAAUAGGACGUGUGGUUCUAUUUUGUUGGUUUCUAGGACCGCCNUAAUGAUUAAUAGGGACAGUCGGGGGCAUCAGUAUUCAAUUGUCAAAAGUGAAAUUCUUGGAUUUAUUGAAAACUAACUACUGCGAAAGCAUUUGCCAANGAUGUUUUCAUUAAUCAAGA